This 482-nucleotide ribosomal RNA is filed under the name uncultured bacterium. RNAcentral's name for it is "partial 16S ribosomal RNA". It matches the Rfam family "Bacterial small subunit ribosomal RNA", at positions 30 to 507 of the family's 1533-position model. The record is from RNAcentral.
AUUGAACGCUGUCGGCAUGCCUUACACAUGCAAGUCGAACGGUAACAGGUCUUCGGAUGCUGACGAGUGGCGAACGGGUGAGUAAUACAUCGGAACGUGCCCGAUCGUGGGGGAUAACGAAGCGAAAGCUUUGCUAAUACCGCAUACGAUCUACGGAUGAAAGCAGGGGACCGCAAGGCCUUGCGCGAACGGAGCGGCCGAUGGCAGAUUAGGUAGUUGGUGGGAUAAAAGCUUACCAAGCCGACGAUCUGUAGCUGGUCUGAGAGGACGACCAGCCACACUGGGACUGAGACACGGCCCAGACUCCUACGGGAGGCAGCAGUGGGGAAUUUUGGACAAUGGGCGAAAGCCUGAUCCAGUCAUGCCGCGUGCAGGAUGAAGGCCUUCGGGUUGUAAACUGCUUUUGUACGGAACGAAAAGACUCUGGUUAAUACCUGGGGUCCAUGACGGUACCGUAAGAAUAAGCACCGGCUAACUACGUG